UGGGGAAUCUUGCACAAUGGGGGCAACCCUGAUGCAGCGACGCCGCGUGAGCGAUGAAGCCCUUCGGGGCGUAAAGCUCUUUCGACCGGAACGAUAAUGACGGUACCGGGAGAAGAAGCUGCGGCUAACUACGUGCCAGCAGCCGCGGUAAUACGUAGGCAGCAAGCGUUGUUCGGAGUUACUGGGUGUAAAGAGUGCGUAGGCGGUUUUCUAAGUUCGGUGUGAAAUCUCCCGGCUUAACUGGGAGGGUGCGCCGAAGACUGGGAAGCUGGAGUGUGGGAAAGGCAGGCGGAAUUCCUGGUGUAGCGGUGAAAUGCGUAGAUAUCAGGAGGAACGCCGGCGGUGUAGACGGCUUGCUAGACCAUAACUGACGCUGAGGCACGAAAGCGUGGGUAGCAAACA
This 402-nucleotide ribosomal RNA is filed under the name uncultured bacterium. RNAcentral describes it as "bacterial SSU rRNA". It matches the Rfam family "Bacterial small subunit ribosomal RNA", at positions 355 to 774 of the family's 1533-position model. The record is from RNAcentral.